AAAGUCGUAACAAGGUCUCCGUUGGUGAACCAGCGGAGGGAUCAUUAGCGAGUCCCAGGACCCCUCACCCCCCCGCCCCGUGGGCUCUCCAGUUGCCUCGGCGGCGCGCCCCGGCGCCCGCCGCAGGACCGCCACGACGCUGCAUCUCCGCGAGGCGCCUCUGAGUGGUAGCGGCGAAUGAAGUCAAAACUUUCAACAACGGAUCUCUUGGCUCCG
This 216-nucleotide unclassified non-coding RNA is filed under the name Ascomycota sp. RNAcentral's name for it is "partial contains small subunit ribosomal RNA, internal transcribed spacer 1, and 5.8S ribosomal RNA". The stretch from base 1 to 47 matches the Rfam family "Eukaryotic small subunit ribosomal RNA", at positions 1785 to 1831 of the family's 1831-position model. Lineage: Eukaryota; Fungi; Ascomycota. The record is from RNAcentral.